GAAUUUAACUGUUUGUUUUGUGGGAAAUUCAUAUGCUUAGAUUUUUCUUUCUUAAUAGGCUGAUAUGACCAUGUUAGAAGACGAACUACCAACAAAAAAAUGACUUUCAUCAGCCCUUGUCAAGGUAUAUUGAGAUGAUUUCUUUGGAGCAAUUCUUGACAACAUUUGUAGUUGA
Humulus lupulus (European hop) is the source of this 175-nucleotide long non-coding RNA. RefSeq lists it as uncharacterized. The record is from RefSeq and is a predicted model, not a curated record. NCBI's taxonomy places the organism in Eukaryota, Viridiplantae, Streptophyta, Magnoliopsida, Rosales, Cannabaceae. The transcript is spliced from 2 exons.